RNAcentral lists this unclassified non-coding RNA (1608 nucleotides) under Cyanobacteria bacterium G1-1. RNAcentral describes it as "bacterial SSU rRNA". The stretch from base 1 to 980 matches the Rfam family "Bacterial small subunit ribosomal RNA", at positions 553 to 1533 of the family's 1533-position model. Lineage: Bacteria; Bacillati; Cyanobacteriota. The record is from RNAcentral.
AUUGGGCGUAAAGCGUCCGCAGAUGGUUUUGAAAGUCUAUUGUCAAAGCGCGGGGCUCAACUUCGUACAGGCAGUGGAAACUACAUGACUAGAGUUCGGUAGGGGUAAGGGGAAUUCCCAGUGUAGCGGUGAAAUGCGUAGAUAUUGGGAAGAACACCAGCGGCGAAAGCGCCUUACUGGGCCUGAACUGACAUUCAUGGACGAAAGCUAGGGGAGCGAAAGGGAUUAGAUACCCCUGUAGUCCUAGCCGUAAACGAUGACAACUAGGUGUUGCCCGUAUCGACCCGGGCAGUGCCGUAGCUAACGCGUUAAGUUGUCCGCCUGGGGAGUACGCACGCAAGUGUGAAACUCAAAGGAAUUGACGGGGGCCCGCACAAGCGGUGGAGUAUGUGGUUUAAUUCGAUGCAACGCGAAGAACCUUACCAAGGCUUGACAUGUCGCGAAUCCUCUUGAAAGGGGGGAGUGCCUUCGGGAGCGCGAACACAGGUGGUGCAUGGCUGUCGUCAGCUCGUGUCGUGAGAUGUUGGGUUAAGUCCCGCAACGAGCGCAACCCUCGUUUCUAGUUGCCAUCAUUAAGUUGGGCACUUUAGAGAGACUGCCGGUGACAAACCGGAGGAAGGUGGGGAUGACGUCAAGUCAGCAUGCCCCUUACGCCUUGGGCUACACACGUACUACAAUGCUACGGACAAAGGGCAGCCAACCAGCGAUGGUGCGCUAAUCCCAUAAACCGUGGCUCAGUUCAGAUUGCAGGCUGCAACUCGCCUGCAUGAAGGCGGAAUCGCUAGUAAUCGCAGGUCAGCAUACUGCGGUGAAUACGUUCCCGGGCCUUGUACACACCGCCCGUCACACCAUGGGAGUUGGCCACGCCCGAAGUUGUUACCCUAACCGCGAGGAGGGGGGCACCUAAGGCAGGGCUGAUGACUGGGGUGAAGUCGUAACAAGGUAGCCGUACCGGAAGGUGUGGCUGGAUCACCUCCUUUUAGGGAGACCUACCCACUUAGUUUUUGAAAGCGAUAAGCGAGUAGAGAGUAAGUUGGUCAUCCCAAGGUCGUAAAGGGUUAAGUGUUGGCUUUCAAACGCUGUCUGGUUUCUUUUUACGGAGAUAGUUAUAGGUUAGGAGUUAAUCAAUUACAUUUUAGGAUUAGGGUGUAGAUGAUUAAGGCUUGAGUUAGGCUAGUCUGUAGAGAGGAACCAAGCGCGGGCUAUUAGCUCAGGUGGUUAGAGCGCACCCCUGAUAAGGGUGAGGUCCCUGGUUCGAGUCCAGGAUGGCCCACCUUUAAUGAGAGGGGGUUUAGCUCAGUUGGUAGAGCGCCUGCUUUGCAAGCAGGAUGUCAACGGUUCGAGUCCGUUAACCUCCACUGGGAGUAGAGCUAGUGAUUGGUAAACUGUCAUUAGUGAGUCCAAGUUUAGCGGAAAGAUUUUAGCAACUAAGCUAGGGGUCAAGGAUUUGACGAACUAGGUAGCCUGCUGGAUUUGUUCCAGUCAGAACCAAGAAAACUGCAUAGAAACUUGUCAGGUAGAAAGUAGAUAAUUUUUACGAAUGGGCUUAGGUCCAGGGUGUAAGAACUACUUCAGAUAUCACAGACACCAAUGUUGAUUUGAUUGAGA